UACAGAGGUCCCGAGCGUUGUUCGGAAUUACUGGGCGUAAAGGGCGCGUAGGCGGCUCGCUAAGUCGGAUGUGAAAACUCUGGGCUCAACCCAGAGCCUGCAUUCGAAACUGACGAGCUCGAGUUCUGGAGGGGAAAGCGGAAUUCCUGGUGUAGCGGUGAAAUGCGUAGAUAUCAGGAGGAACACCGGUGGCGAAGGCGGCUUUCUGGACAGAAACUGACGCUGAUGCGCGAAAGCUAGGGGAGCAAACAGG
This 253-nucleotide ribosomal RNA is filed under the name uncultured bacterium. RNAcentral's name for it is "partial 16S ribosomal RNA". It matches the Rfam family "Bacterial small subunit ribosomal RNA", at positions 524 to 776 of the family's 1533-position model. The record is from RNAcentral.